GGUUAAGCUACUAAGGGCACGUGGUGGAUGCCUUGGCAGAGACAGCCGACGAAGGACGCGGCCAGCAGCGAAAUGCCUCGGGGAGCUGCAAGCAAGCUUUGAUCCGGGGAUCUCCGAAUCGGGAAACCGAGCGGGAGUCAUGUCCCGCCACCGCCGGGCCAAUACAUAACCCGGCGGAGGGUACCCGGGGAACUGAAACAUCUCAGUACCCGGAGGAAGAGAAAGCAACAGCGAUUCCCUGAGUAGUGGCGAACGAAAGGGGAACAGCCUAAACUCGCGCCGUGUCAAGGCCCCAGCCGUUGCGGCGCGGGGGUCGUGGGGCAAGACUGGGCGAACCUGGGGGUUCGCCGGGGAGUUACAAAUCGUGUCGUUAGCCGAAUUGGCCUGGAACGGUCAGCCAAAGACGGUGAGAGUCCGGUAGGCAAAAACGGCACGACUCCCUGAGUCCUGUUCCCAAGUACCACGGGGCACGAGGAAUCCUGUGGGAAUCUGGGAGGACCAUCUCCUAAGGCUAAAUACUGUCUCUGACCGAUAGUGAACUAGUACCGUGAGGGAAAGGUGAAAAGAACCCCGCGAGGGGAGUGAAAUAGAACCUGAAACUGCGUGCCUACAAACGGUCGGAGCCCGAUGUCAUGGACUUCGGUUCAUGACCGGGUGACGGCGUGCUUCUUGCAUAAUGAGCCGGGGAGUUGACCUCAGUGGCAAGGUUAAGGGCCUCUGGUCCGGAGCCGAAGGGAAACCGAGUCCGAAUAGGGCGAAUGAGUCGCUGGGGACAGACCCGAAACCAGGUGAGCUACCCAUGGCCAGGGUGAAGCGAGGCUAACCCCUCGUGGAAGCCCGAACCAGUGUCAGUUGAAAAUGGCUUGGAUGAGCUGUGGGUCGGUGUGAAACGCUAAUCGGACCUGGAGAUAGCUGGUUCUCCCCGAAAUAGCUUUAGGGCUAGCCUCGGGUGGUGACUCGCGGAGGUAGAGCACUGAAUGGGCUAGGGGCGUUCAUAGCGCUACCAAACCCAAUCAAACUCCGAAUGCCGCGAGAUUCAAACCCGGGAGUCGGACUGUGGGGGAUAAGCUCCAUAGUCGAGAGGGAAACAGCCCAGACCGCCGGCUAAGGUCCCUAAAUCAGGCUAAGUGGUAAAGGAAGUGACUUCGCCCAAACAGCCAGGAGGUUGGCUUAGAAGCAGCCAUCCUUUAAACAACGAGUAACAUCGGACUGGUCGAGUGGAGUUGCGCCGAAGAUGUAACGGGGCUCAAGCCUGAUACCGAAGCCGCGGAUGUCUGAGUUUCUUCGGAGGCUCGGGCGUGGUAGGGGAGCGUUCGGCCAGGAGUGAAGCGGUACCGAAAGGAGCCGUGGACCGGGCCGAAGUGCGAAUCCCGGCAUCAGUAGCGAAAAAGAGAGUGAGAAUCUCUCUCGCCGAAAGCCUAAGGUUUCCCAGGCAAGGUUCGUCCUCCUGGGUUUAGCCGGGCCUAAGCCGAGGCCGAAAGGCGUAGGCGAUGGACAGCCGGUCGACAUUCCGGCGCCACUGUGAGACGAUAAAGACGCGAUGAGGGGACGUCGCUGGGUGUGUCAGCGCGCGAUUGGAUUGGCGCGUUCUGGGCCGAGGUAGUCCGGCAGGCAAAUCCGCCGGAACAUCUGCCAGAGUCUGGAGGAGGAAAGGCUUCGGCUGGACUGAACUGACGUAACCAGCGGCCAGGAAAAGCCUCUAGCGAGUCUCACAGUGCCCGUACCGUAAACCGACACAGGUAGGCGGGCAGAAAAUGCCAAGGCGCGCGAGAGAACCCUCGCUAAGGAACUCGGCAAUCUCGCUCCGUAACUUCGGGAGAAGGAGCGCCUCCUGGUCCGAAUGGACGCAGCUUGCUGUGCUCCCUUCGGGCUGCCGGAGGCCGCAGUGAAAAGGCCCAGGCGACUGUUUACCAAAAACACAGGUCUCUGCUAAGCCGUAAGGCGAAGUAUAGGGGCUGACGCCUGCCCAAUGCCAGAAGGUUAAGGGGAGAGGUCAGCUCACCGCAAGGUGAGCGAAGCUUUGAUCCGAAGCCCUGGUGAAUGGCGGCCCUAACUCUAAGGGUCCAAAGGUAGCGAAAUUCCUAGUCGGGUAAGUUCCGACCUGCACGAAAGGCGUAACGAUCUGGGCGCUGUCUCAGCGAGGGACUCGGCGAAGUUGUAGUGCCAGUGAAGAUGCUGGCUACCCGCGACAGGACGGAAAGACCCCGUGGAGCUUUACUAUAGCCUGGUAUUGAAUUUUGGGGUCUCGUGCAGAGGAUAGGUGGGAGCCUGUGAAACCGCGGCUCUGGCUGCGGUGGAGGCGACCUUGGAAUACCACCCUCGAUACCUCGGGAUUCUAACCGUAGCCCUUAUCGGGUGGCGGGACAGUAUCAGGUGGGUAGUUUGACUGGGGCGGUCACCUCCGAAAAGGUAACGGAGGUGUUCAAAGGUUCCCUCAGUGCGGUUGGAAAUCGCACGGCGAGUGUAAGGGCACAAGGGAGCUUGACUGCGAGAGCUACUGCUCGAGCAGAGACGAAAGUCGGACCUAGUGACCCGGCAGUUCGGGAUGGAACGGCUGUCGAUCAACGGACAAAAGCUACCCCGGGGAUAACAGGCUUAUAGCCCCCGCGCGCUCACAGCUACGGGGCUGUUUGGCACCUCGAUGUCGGCUCGUCGCAUCCUGGGGCUGGAUAAGGUCCCAAGGGUUGGACUGUUCGUCCAUUAAAGCGGUACGCGAGCUGGGUUCAGAACGUCGUAAGACAGUUCGGUCCCUAUCCGUCGCGGGCGUAAGAGGUCUGAGGAGAGCUGCCGCCAGUAUGAGAAGACCGCGGUGGACGGACCUAGGGUGUACCAGUUGUCCCGCCAGGGGCAUAUGCUGGGUAGCCAUGUCCGGACGAGAUAAGCGCUGAAAGCAUCUAAGCGCGAAGCUCACUCCAAGACGAGACCUCUCACCGGGUUAACCGGGUAAGGCCGCAGGAAGACCACCUGCUUGAUAGGCCGGAGGUGUAAGCACGGCAACGUGUUGAGCUGACCGGUACUAAUAGGCCGAGGGCUUAACCCU
Molecule: non-coding RNA, 3040 nt
Organism: Chloroflexi bacterium RBG_19FT_COMBO_62_14
Lineage: Bacteria; Bacillati; Chloroflexota
Source: Rfam